GUGCUCAUUUUAGCAGCACAUAUACUAAAAUUGAAAUGACACAGAGAUUAGCAUGGUCCUUGCACAAGGAUGACACUCAAAUUCAUGAAGCAUUCUGUAUUAUU
Molecule: small nuclear RNA, 104 nt
Organism: Alexandromys fortis (reed vole)
Lineage: Eukaryota; Metazoa; Chordata; Mammalia; Rodentia; Cricetidae
Source: RefSeq, a predicted model, not a curated record